AGGAAAUUCUAUAAUAUUUUCCAUAAUAGAUGUGCUAAUUUACAUUCCCACUAACCAUACACAACAGUUCGCUUUUCUUCACAUCCUCGCCAACAUUUGGUAUCUUUUGUCUUUUUAAUAAUAGCCAUUCUAACAGCUAUGAAGUGAUAUCUCUUGCUGCUAUGUAAGUAAGUCAUGGUGCAGGGAGGAGGGUAUUGUAAAGACCAAGCAACCAGUUGGGAGGACAAUGGUGCAGUCCAAUUUACUGGUGGCUUGGGAAGAUGUGUGUGUUUGAAUGGAAAGAGGGUGGGUAUAAGGUAGGAAGUCCAGAGUUUUGUGUUAGUCAUGAUAAAUUGAUCAUGACCUGUUAGAUAUCAAUAUAAGAAGAACAAAAUGUCUACUUAGGAAAGAUCUGGGUGAGAGGUGUAAAUUUGAACUUCAUCAGAACAAAGAUAUUAUUUGAAGCAAAGACUGUAGAAAGAGAAAGGAAAAGGUGAAGAACAGAGACCUGAAAAAUUCUGACAUUGAAAAGUCUGGCACAGAAGGGAAAACAAGGAAAAGAAAUUGAGGAAAAGUCACCUUGAGUAGAAGAUGGAUUAAGAAUAAAGGAGUAGUCAAAUAGUUUAUAUACUGGUGAAAGGUCAUAAAAAUAAAAGCCGAAAAUUGUUAUUGGCUUGUCAAGAUGAAGACAAUUGAUGACUUUGACAAAAUUCACUUAGUACUGUCAUGGGGAUGACUGAACUGAAGAUGGAAGGAGUUGAAGUAGCAACAGUGCAAAUAGACUCUCUGCCAGCCACUCUAUCAAUUAAAGGGAUUUUACUCCAUUCAAAGGGAUAUUCUUCCACUCAUACAUGCCCUGCAUGCCAUUUCCUCUCCCUUUCUCUUGGAAUUUGCCUCUACGAUAUUUCUCUCUCAGCCCCGAAACAUUAAUUUCUCAUUCAUGCAAUGAAACCUUCCUAAUUAAGCCAGUAUAACAUGGCUUAAUUUUCACUUAUCUUAAAAAUAUUUCCCUUAAUCGUACUUUUUCAUUCCAAUGACUGCCCUAGUUUUCUACUUUUUUUCUGUCCAAAUUACAGGGUGAAAAUCGGGUUUUAAUCCACAUCAAAUUUAUCAAGAAAUUAGACUUACCCUUAGAAAGAGGGCAGAAACAUGACCCCCUGGUGGAUUUUGUGCCUACCAUGGGUCAGGUAGGCUGAAGAACAACUGGAAUAGAUUAAUUGCCAGCAUAAACACAGGAUCAGGAAUUCACAGGGAUUACCAUUCCAGGAUUAGAGAAGAAUCCGUUUGCCUCAUGAUUGGAACAUGCUGCUGAAAUUCUACAGAAGUGGCAGGCAUCAGAGGCAGAGAAAUGUUGAGUAUUGAAGUCAAAAUCCAAAGACCCAGUACUAGAGAAAAUUCGUGGACUCAAGACCACCAGGAUCUCCAUCAUGGUGACUGACUGUUUUGUAGUUGUUAAAAAGCAGAGCAGAGAAUGUCUGAAACUCAUGUGUUAAAUGCCUCAUUGUGCACCAAUGAACAAAGAAUACUCCCUCACAUUAAAAAAAAAAUCAGAUUUGAGAGACAGCCAUUACAGUCCACACAACAGAAAUUCAGAAUAAUUUGGAGUUGGCUCUUUUGUGAGGAUUUGCAGUAAAAAAUUGGACAGUCUUAUCUGUCAUCUUAAAACUGAAGGACCCUUAGUUUUCUCACUAUUGGCAAAGUUAGCUAAUAGACCUAAGAAGGAAGAAAGACAACCAUGGAUGCCCUCAAGAACGGAAAUUGAGUUCAUGAAGCACUGCAGGUAGAGAUGAACCUCCUGAAAUAAGCCCUUCAGCAGGAGAGCUCCUAGUGUAUCUGGAAUUGGUGGGUUCUUGGUCUCGCUGAGUUCAAGAAUGAAGCCGCGGACCCUGGCAGUGAGUGUUACAGUUCUUAAAGAUGGUGUGUCCGGAGUUUGUUCCUUCAGAUGUUCAGAUGUGUCCAGAGUUUCUUCUUCUGGUGGGUUCAUGGUCUCACUGACUUCAGAGUGAAGCUGCAGACCUUCACGGUGAGUGUUACAACUCAUAAAGGCAGCACAGACCCAAAGAGCGAGCAGCAACAAGAUUUAUUGUGAAGAGAAAGAACAAAUUUUCCACAGCCUGGAAGGGAACCCCAGCUGGUUGCCAGGGCUCCGUCGGGUAGCCUGCUUUUAUUUCCUUAUUCAACCCCACCCACAUCCUGCUGAUUGGUCCAUUUUACAGAGAGCUGAUUGGUCCAUUUUGACAGGGUGCUGAUUGGUGCAUUUAGAAAUCUCGAGCUAGACACAGAAGGCUGAUUGGUGCAUUUACAAUCCUUCAGCUAGACACAAAAGUUCUGCAAGUCCCCACUAGAUUAGCUAGACACAGAGUACUGAUUGGUGCAUUUACAAACCUCUAGCUAGACACAGAGUGCUGAUUGGUGGAUUCACAAACCUUUAGCUAGACACAGAGUGCUGAUUGGUGCAUUCACAAUCCUCCAGGUAGACAGAAAAGUUCUCCAAGUCCCUACCCGUCCCAGAAGCCCAGCCGGCUUCACCUCUCACUGGCACUCGCCUGUGGCGCCUAGCCCGGGCACUCCGGCAGCCCAGUUGGAGCUCCUCCCGCAAUCAAGCCCAGCAGCUGCUGGCCAGCCACGCCCAGUGUGGGGCCGCCAAGCCCCCGCCCACCCGGAACUCUUGAAGGCCUGUGAGCGCCACCAGAAGCCCCGGCUCCCGCAGGCGCCUCUCGCUCCACACCUCCACGCAAGCAGAGGGAGUCGGCUCCAGCCUCGGCCAGCCCCAGAGAGGGGCCCCCACAGUGCAGUGGCGGCCAGAGCGGAUGCCGAGGCCCAGGAGAGGCCGAGAGUGAGCGAGGGCUGCUAGCACGUUGUCACCUCUCACUAACACCAGAAGAGGUGGAGAUGGUCCAUAUUUACAACAUUUGUUGCAGACAAUGAGACAAAUUUAGUCCAUACUCCACAAAUUGCCAGAAGUAAUGUUAUUUGACCCAACAGGAGGGAGAAAGCGGAAUUUGUGUGGAGAGUAAGAUGCUGAUGUUUGGAUGUGCAGAGAAGAGUUUCCAUAUAGCAGGAAAAGCCCUUUUUCCUUUCUCUCCAGCUUGUAAGGAAGAGUCUAGAUAUUCCCACAUAGCACUAAGUUCUUCUAAGGGACAAUACUGGAAAAAGAAGAAAUCACAAGCUGGGUAAAAAGAUAUACCAGAGUUUAGUUUUGAGAAGGGAUGCAGUGCUUGAGAGAAGAAGCUAUCAUCCACAUGAACCAUGAGGUAAAGAGACAGAGAUUGGAUGGAGGAAUUUAAAAUAUAAUUCCUUUUUAUUAGUAAUAUUCUUUCUGUCCUUUGGUAUUUAUUAAAAUAUUGAGUAGAUUAUAACUGAUUAGAUGAGAUUAAAGGUUCUGGGCUUUGUUUUGCUUUUUGUUUCUUGAUUGCUGUUUCUUUGAAUGUAAUUCCAUAUGGUAACUAAGGUCCCAUUUUUAUUUUGAUUAUAUUCUUGAUAAUCCAAACAAGAUAAAAUAAGGAACUAACCUAGGCUGUCGCUGUAAUAAUUUUGAGAAUGGGAUACAAUGAAUAUUUACAUAUUUCAUUAGACAGAAUAAGAUAAUUGCCUUGGACAUAAGGAAAGAAGAGAAAGAAAUAAUCUAAGAUGAUUACCUAGGUUAGUCGAUUGGCUCAGUGAGAAUAGCAACAACUACGGGAUUUGAGGAAGAAAACUAAUAACCUAAGUUGAAGACAACCAGUAGGCAAUGGGAUAUCAAUGUUUGCAGCUUAUGGCAGAGUCAGAGCCAGAACUUCCCCUGCAUGCUGGUGAAAAAUAAACCCAUGGGAAGAGAUGAGAUUCCCUAAGGCAGACGAAUCAGUUAGGAUCUCUAGAGGAAUCCAAGGGCACCCUGAGAUAGUUAAUUGGACAAUUGUUAAUUAAAAUUCUAAAAUGUUAGCCACAAUUAAUAUUCUUCAGAUAAUGUAGCAGUGCAAAAUAAAGAAAAUAGCUAUCAACUAUUAGUAAUAACAUAAGUUAUGUUAUCAUUAGCAUAACAACUAUGCUAUGAUUCUUUGCUUUCCUUAUCCUGUGCCAGCCCUUUUACCUAUGCAGAGUUUUGGAUCUGAUGGAGUGACUCAUACGUUUAUUCUCAUAGAUUCUAAGCAAUUGAUGGUCAUGUCUUAGCACAUGGAUUAGCACUGUUUUCUAAGGAUAAUUAGGCAAGGGAGUUUCAAGUGAUACCCCAGUGAUGCCUCUAAGUUCCAAACACAGUCUUUUUUAUUCUACUAAGUAACAGUAACCCAAUUUGUUUCUAGUUAUUGUGACAAAUCACCCAGGAGAGUGUAGUGAUCUCCACCUUCUCUGCCUGAUGGUUCAGCAGCAUGAGAUGCCCAAAAUGUCCUGGGAAUUGUUUUAGCUUCCAGUUCAUUGGGAAGAUGUUGAUAUUGACUCAUGGAAGCAUUUGGGCAUUAUGACCUUCAAAUUAUUGAACCACAUUAUUUGGGACAGGACGCAAAAUUUCUUCUACUGUGUGAAUAAUUGGGGCGGGGGGUGGGGGCGCUAACCACUUUGAUUCAUGCUUCCAAUACCAGAACUUUGGGAGGUCAAGGUGGCAGGAUUGCUUGAGCCCAGGAUUUCAUGAUUGGUCUUGGAAACAUAGUGAGAUCCCAUCUGUACAAAAAAAAAAAAAAAAAAAGAAAGAAAAAUUAGCCAGGCAUAGUGGUGCAUACCUGUAGUCCCAGCCACUUGAGAGGCUGAGGCCAGAAGGCAGGAGAAUCGCUUGAGCCUGAGAGGUCAAGGCUGCAGUGAGCUGUGAUCGUGCCACUGCACUCCAGCCUGGGUGAGAGAGUGAGACCGUGUCUCAAAAAAAAAAGAAAAAGAAAAAAAAAAGAAAAGAGUAAUUGGUGAGAAGAGCCACUUCCACCUCUACGCUUUAACUCACAGACUUACACAUCCUAUUAAUGAAGCCUAAAUUGGUUGCUGGAUUAAAACAUAUACCUCACUAUGUAGGAAUACAAUCCUCACCUCACAAGGUGUUGUCUCCUUGUUUGAACUGUAACUGAGCCUUUAGUGGGCCAUUCCACUGUUCUUUCAAACUGGCUACCAUUGCUAUAAAAUGCGGUCCUAGUCAGAGAAGACAUAUAGGGGAAAAUGGCAGUUGAUCAAGUCAUUCUACGAGUUCAUGAAUAGUGCUGCUUGCAGGAGCAUUGCAGGCAGGGAAGGUAAAUCUUUAUGUAGAAUAUGUAGUUGUACCCAUGAGAGCUGCCUUCUCUGAUGGGAGGGGUCAACUUUUUUUUAGGGCCACCCUUGAGUGGGACUGGAGUACAAUAUACAUUCAUUACCUUCCAUCUUUUCUGCCAGCAGAGCUCUGAUUUUCUUCUGAGAAGUCGUAUCCAUGUGCCAGAAAACAAGUAGGGUUACUAUUACCCAGUCACAAGAGAUGAGUAUUACAAAUAAAAUACUACAAAAAAAAAUAGAACACUAGGCUAUUCUAAGCCAGUCAUGAUUGUGUUUUUCCUUGCUAGGAUACGUAAUAAAAUUUUAACUGAGAUUUAAUAGAAUAUGCUGAGGGACUUCUUGGAAAUGAGUCCUCCUCCUAAAAGGUUAUGUAUAAAAGGAACAGACCCUUUCUGGCCUCUGCAUGUUGUUAUGUGCAUUUGACACCUGGAUCUAAAGCAAACAUCUUGAGAAAAUGAAGGACACUAGCUUAAGUGCAUAAGCUAACAAAGUGAGGAUGGCAUACUGGAAAGAUGAAAACAACCUAGAUCCUUGAUAAUGUUGUUAAGCCACUGAAUUAGUCACUCAUGGAAUUGCUUUGCCUGUAAACUUAUUGUGUGCAAAACAAGAAACAAAACUCCCAAAUGUGGAAAUGACUGAAUGAAGGAGGUAGGGCAAAGGGCA
This 5844-nucleotide long non-coding RNA is filed under the name Homo sapiens (human). Its description in RNAcentral is "HSALNT0127673". Lineage: Eukaryota; Metazoa; Chordata; Mammalia; Primates; Hominidae. The record is from RNAcentral.